GACCUGCCGAGGGCGCGCGCCGCGUGCUGGCGCUCCCUGGCGGCGCCGCGGAGCUUGGCGCGGCAGCUGGAGGCGGCCUGGCGCGUGGUGACGGCGCCCGCGGGCGGACGCAGGAUGGCGGCGCUGCGGGGCGACGGCUUCGCCAGGCUUCGGCCCGCACGGGCGCAGCGAACCCCAGGGAAGAAAGACAAAGACACGCCGGUUAGCAACGGGCGGGAACCGCGCAGCCCGGGGCCGAGGCGCCGCGUCCCCACCCCGCACCCUUCAGGGCAUGUGAAGGCUGGAUGCCGGCUUAGGAGUUGCUUCUCUCCUGCCACCACUGGGUUCCAAAGAUUGAACUCAGGUUAGAUAACAGUAACAGAGAAGCGGCCGGAGUAGGAAAACACACAGACAGCGCCAGGAGGAAGAGCAUCUGAAGAAACCAAAGCUCAGCUGGUUCCUUGCAGGGCAAGACAAGAAAUUUGAAGUUGAUACGUAACUUGGCCACACUUCGAAGCUGUAAAUAAAUGAGCCAAGACUUCAACCUAAGUUCGCAGACUCUUAUCACCAAAAGUACAGAAUGGUGUCAGGUACAUCAAGACUAACCGAACAGAAAUCAGCUAUCAUAGUAAGUCAAAUUCCAAAAACAUAAGACAGAAAAGCAAGAACAAUACCUUAAAAUUUUAGGAUCGAAUUUUAGAAUUAAAUUGCUAGCUGAAACUAUACAGUGUAAUGGGAUGUCUGUAACAACUUGUGACAGAAUGACCUAAAUGCUGCCAUAGGAAACACAAGAGCUCUUUCUCCAUGAAAAUAACAGGAUUUCUAUGACUCUGCACAGCCAGAGAUGGUAAUGCAGCAGGCAGUUCAGAAGAACUACAAACACUGGCCAAAACUCCCCCGCAGAGAAUGAGAAGGACCAUUAAUGCUGCAUUAGUGUAGCAGUCACAAACACCUGCCGCCUUCAAUGCUAAUGUUUUCAUGUAUAUUCAAACCCUAAUUGUAGCAAUAUCCUUUAAAUAUUUCCAUCACGAUUCCUUCUGCUGGGCUCAGGACCAUGUUUUAUGCUCCUGACUUUCCCAUAAUGACCGCAUGGUAGGACCAGCAGAGAAAGCCUGCCCAAAGACCACACUGCAGACAAGCCAGCAACCUAUGAAGCCAGCAUGAAAGAGAAAUUUGCUCAAAUAUACCUAAUUCAACUAAUCAUAUUUUCCAUUAAGAGACUGAGCCAAAGCUACACAGGGAAAGAAAACAGAUAAAAGGUGCCAGAAAGGUGAGAAGUACCUACAAAUAUAUUGAGAAGACAGAGUGAGAAAUCUUUUUAGUCUUAGAAGAGCUAGGAGAAGAGACACAGUACUUCUUGCUGCCAAGACUGCAAUACCCAAUCACUAGAGUUGCCUCGAUUUCCCCAUUAGAUAUCAUAUCGCCUACCUAGUGAAAAUCUAGUGAAGCCAACUUGUCUGGAUUUCCACAAGGCCUGGCCACUUCUGUCUCCCUUAUGUUUUUCACAUAAAACUUUCAGAAAAACCUCCUCCCCUUACCAGAUACAAGCCAAACAAAAUUACAUGCUUGCAACCAAAAAGAAGAAUGAAAGAUCCUAACAGCUGUUUUUUGAGUGCACACACACUCACACAUCCACUUUUAGACACUAGACAAGCUGGGGGGUAGCUGGCAAUUCAAGCCUUCUGAUUCUCCCAUCUAUUUUAUAGUUCCUGUGGCUUAGAUACUGUGUUAAUGAACCCUAGUUACCUAGUCUAGAGAGAGAAGCUCAAAAAGAAUGAUAAACCUUAAAGAUUAGCAACUUAGGUCUUAGGACAUGAGUAGAGUGCCUGUUGUGCAGCCAUGAGGGCUGAGAUUCAGCUCCACAGCAGCUACAGGAAAAGUUAGGCAUGGAAGCCUGUGUAUGCAACUCCAGUACAGGGAUGGAGAUUUGGGAAAAACAGGCAGUUUCUUCCAAGCCAGCUUCAGUCUAGCUAAGCAGUAAGAACCAGCUUCAGUGAAAGACCUGUCUCGAAACAUAAAAGUAGAACACAAUUAUGGAAGACACCUGGUGUCAACCUCUGGCCUGCAUAUGUAUUUUACACAAACAGAUACACAACACACAUCUGUGUGUACACAUAUGCACACACAAAAAAGUAACUCUUCAUUAUAAAUUCAAUAUUAACAAUUCAGUAUUAACAAGAGCUCCAGAAUAGUUUUAAGAAACAAAACUAUCUCAUUUAAAAGCUCCUUCAUCUGUGUGUAUAUAAUGUUUGUGUGAGGAUUUUUGUGGUAUAUGAACUGAUUUUCUCAGAAUCACAUUGAAUAAAUGUUGAUUAGUCAAAGUG
Mus musculus (house mouse) is the source of this 2303-nucleotide long non-coding RNA. RefSeq annotates it as RIKEN cDNA 6530409C15 gene. The record is from RefSeq and is marked validated. NCBI's taxonomy places the organism in Eukaryota, Metazoa, Chordata, Mammalia, Rodentia, Muridae. The transcript is spliced from 4 exons.